AAUUGAUGAUGAGGACAUUGGCUAAUGAGGAGAUUAUACUGCUCCCAUGCUUCAUGAAAUGACUCAUCACCUUGUUGCAUGAAGAAGUGAAUCUUGUCCCUCAACUC
Neltuma alba is the source of this 107-nucleotide small nucleolar RNA. NCBI's taxonomy places the organism in Eukaryota, Viridiplantae, Streptophyta, Magnoliopsida, Fabales, Fabaceae. The record is from RefSeq and is a predicted model, not a curated record.